CUUAUUCAUUCACAAAAAUGUAUUGAAGAUCUAUUAAGAGCCAGUGAUUUGCUACGUCUUGGAUUCAAUAAUUAGCAAACUCAGAAAGGAAGGUUUUUUUUUUUAAACAUUGAGAGUUUGUGGUGGGUGGAGAAGGGACAGAUAUUAAAUGAACAAAGAAAAUUGUGAUAAACUCCUUAAGAAAAGAGGUAGCAAUUGAACAUCGAGGAAAAUGACUAUAAAAUUAUAAAUCUGUUGCAUUCUGCAAAGGAGAGCCAGGUAGUGGAUUAACUAAGGGGCCAGGCAAUGCUUUCUUAUAAGAAGCCACUUUGAAGCUGAUGCUCCAAGGGACUCCAUAAGUGACUCCAUAAGAGGUAGGGGUGGGUGCUGAAGAGGUGAAGAGAAGCUUGGCACACAAAAGCAAGGUUAAUGUAAACAAGUGAAAGUUGGGUUUUUACACUAGAUACAGAUUUUGGGUUUUAGUUUAAGAGUAAUGAGAAACUACUAAUUAGCAUUCAGUAGGCAAUGCUGUGUAAAAAAUGUGGGAAAAAUAAUCUCAGCGGUUCCAAGUAACAAAUGCUUAUUUCUCACUCAUGUUACAUUUUGUUGUUGUACUAGAGAUUGAACUCAGGCUUUACACAUGCUAGGUAAGUACUCUGCUGUGCAGCUAUAUUUUUAGCACUCUAAUUUUUAAAAAAAAUUUGAGACAAUGUCUCACUGCAUUGCCCAGGCUGGCCUCAGACUUGUGAUCUUCCUGGCUCAGCCUCUCUAGGAGCUGGGUUACAGGCGUGUGCCAGCACCCAAGCUUAUAGAACGUUUGACUCAGGUCAGCUAUGGCUUUGCUCUGUGGAUCUUACUCAUUGUGAUCCAAGAUUGAAGAAGCAGCUUAAAUCUGGGCAUUCCUUUCUUAUGGUAGAGGCCAAAGAGCCAUGGCCAAGACCUGGGUUACUCCACAGGUGUGUGCCAUCUUUGAUCACAUGCCACUGGCCAAAGCAAGUUGCUGGCCUGAAUCUCAAUGUGGUGGGAGGUUAGAGCUGGGCAGUGGGAGGGGGAUUAGGUCCCCUUCCUCUGGGCCUUGAAAAGUUUUAAGUGUGUAUGGUGCUGGUAGUAACAUGGUAAGAUCUGUUUCGAAAAGUGUAACGUUGGGUUGAAGCUGGCUUAGUAAGUAGUGAAAUAGUAUCUCACUACUUAUGGUUACUACUAAUGGUCACCUGGAUUGAAGAGGUGGGGGGAUAGGUGGAGAAAGAAGAUCUGAGAAGUUUUUCAAAGGCAAAAUAAAUAACAGUAUGGGUUUGGUUUGAGUGUGUUCAGGUUGAGAUACUUGAGAGCCAUUUAUGAGGUUAUAACACAUCAAGUAUAGUUGGGCACGUUACUAUACUAUUUGUAAGAAAAUAAAUUUCCAAUUUCCUUUGGAAUAUGACUUAAAAUUACCCUGAGAGUAACUUUCCUAGUAGAAAUAGCCUUUGUGUUUUCAUCUUACUCUUAAAGUACUUAGAUAUUAAAAGAAAAUGUUCACCGGUUACAACUUUUUCUAUUUUUGCCUCUGGUUAUUCACAGAAGGUGAAGUACUCUUUAUAUUUUUCCUUUAUUGCUACAAGUGUUCUUGCUUCAACACACACUGGAGAAUAUGCCUUUUUUUCCUGAGUGACGUACUGGGUGGGAGCCAAGGGAAUCGGGGUAUAAAGAUGGCACCUCCUCCCAGCCUGUGUGUCUGUAGCCCUCCCAGACCUUGGGUCCCCGUGAAUAGCCCAGGCAUUUUGCUUUCUAUUAGAAAAUUGGCAAAUAUUGUCAGGGACAGGGAGCAACAGAAACUGAGAAGGAUUCUGGAUCACUGAGAGGGAUUUUCUCCCCUUUAGAAUCAGUCAACCUUCUCUGAAUGUUGCUUCAUUUUCUGUUUAUUAGUCAAGUUAAAGAACAUCCAGUAUUUAGAAUAUGAACCAGGAUGGAUCUGAGCUCCUUUUCUUUUUCUGCAUAUUCCUAGAGCAAAUAUGGUCUCAGAAAACACCAUGUGACUUACAACAUCUCUAGGUUUGGAAUCUUGAUACCAGCUCUGGGUCCCCAGAUGAUGCCCUUUAAGACCUGACAUUUUUAGAACAAGAGAGCAAAUCUUAUGGGAUAUCAGAUAUCUCUGCAAUUAUAAGUGAAGUUCGAAAAUGCUUGGGCAGAAUUUGUUAGUAAAAAUUGAGGUACUGUGUUUUUCCACCUUAUGCUAUCCAGUAAUAUUUCUGGUUCCUUCAUACUAUACUAUAUUCAAAACUGCCCCAUGAUCCAAAACAUAAACCCAACAAGUCACAGAUAGAACUGAGCAGGUAUGUAUCAGGUGUCAGCUCCAGGGGGGCUGAGUCCUCUUCUUCUUGCUGACUCUUAGAGUACCUGUCAGGACUGUACAAAGAAGACGUCCAGAUAAGACUCAUUGAAUGGAAUCAGGGCUGCUGCUUUGGUUUGGGGACAGAGAAUUUCCCUUCCCAGGGCAGCUUCAAGCUCCUGGCUAAUUUAGCUCAGCAGUAGGCAGUUUGGAUGGGCACUGAGGUCAUUUCACUUGAGCGGAGUCCUGGCUGGUGUCUACCCUGUGUAACCCUGAGCUAGUUAUAUAAUUUUAAAUCCUGUAGUGUGUGUAUAGAAAUUAACUGAUGUUGUGUGCAGAAAGCACAUAGUGGGCUGGGAAUGUACAAAGGCCCUGGUGUCAGUCUUCGAUACUGGAAAAAAAAGCUCACAGAUAACUAAAACUAGAGAUCAUAAACUAUGAUCAUAAUCAUAAACAAAAGCCAUAACGAAUUUUGUUCGUAAAACAGAUAAAUAUGAGAAAUAGUUCACUUGUGAAAUCAAUCCCUAGUUGUCUGAGGAUGUAGUUUUUGUUUGUUAUCUGGCCAGGAAGCUUUACCAGUGUAAAAAUAUCUGGCAACUGUGUCUUCAUUCUGUCUAGAGCCUCGUGGUUCAAUCAGACCUCUCUGGCAAAGAGCCUGGGCAUCUCCAGUGCUUGCUGCAUACGUUUGUGAUGGGAUGAGCUGGCACAUCAGGGUUUUAACUUUGUUAACCCAGCAUGCAGAAGAGCUCUGGGAAGGGCGUGUCCCUUCAGGUCAUAAUAAAUAUAGUUAUUUCUUCCUAGUUUUGUUUUUAUCUCCUGCUUGGUUCAUCCCAAGUGUGUUCAUGAAGCGGACUGGAUGCUCUUCCAAACAAGGAGCAAUUUCUGCAUGUCGCUGUGCAAAAGAGGCCCAGGGGGCGCCCAGGACGGAGGAGAGCAAGGACCGUGGGAUGGAAGCCAGAAGAUGGGCGUCUGUAGGAGGGAAGUGGCCAGAGUCCUAUUCAGCCACAAAAGGGGUGCUAUUCUGACACCAACUGCAACAGGGCCGCACCUGGAGGACAGCUUGGGAAGCGAAGACCUCCAACAGGAAAGGCACACACUGUGUGAGAGAGGAGGUGGAGCUCCAGGACUGAUGACCUGAGGUGCAGGCCUGGUUCUCAAACAGCUUGCGGUGUCACCUGGUUAGAAACUCAGAUCCUCGGCUGCGUCCCAGAUCUCCUGAAUCAGAGACCUGGUCACGGGGCACAGCCAUGGGUGAGUAUGAUGCUGUGAAAGAUGGACGAUCAUGGAGCACCUGGAGUCCUCUAGGAAGCCCAAAUGACAAGACCACAGAUGUGUGGACCCCAGUCUUAGUCUGGGAAGGGCACAGGUGGUUCUGCUGUGCGGUCCUUUGCAGUGUCAGAACCAGUAGGGUAGAGGAAGACCAGGAGGACAGGAGCUUAGGUCCGUCUUGUCUCGUUCUCAGACCUCUGCUCGGAACCUCUGCCUGGCUACGUCAGUAGGUCACUGCCUUGGUGGAGAAGAGAAGGAGGAAGACAUAAAUCUGACUCUCUAGACUGCAGAAAGGGCCAGUGCUUCCUCAUGGGUCUGUCAUCCAACCCAGGUUGGCUCCAGAAUUCUCCUGUCACUCAGUGUGGUCUCAUGACUUAAGGCCACCCAUCUUCUGGGCCACCCAUUUUCCUCUUAAGAGAGAGCCCCAGGGAAACAGCGCACACCAACUGUACACUGUCUGGUCUUCCUCUAAACCUAUCUGUGUCUGGGAGUGGUGCUUGAACUCUUUAAUUGCUGGGUUGGUGCUGAGCCCAUCGGAGCGGGGCAGAAGAACGGGUCUUGAUGGGGUGACUGAGGGCAUAGAGGCCACUCUGCUGGUAGAGGAGAGGUCGCCUUCCCUCACUGGGCUGGACACCCAACCCAAGCAACCAGACUUCUCAGAGAACCCACCUAAGUCCCCUUAAGUCCCCUAAGUCUCGAGGCUGCACUUCCCACUCUGUCAGGUUCCCCAGCCACCAGGACUCUGGCUCGGUUGUCAUCUCACCCGUCAGCUUGCCCAUUCCUCUCACCUCCUGCCUCCAGCUCUCUUUCGCUUUGUGGUUAUUUGUGGAUGUGAGGCCUGAAAGACGUUCUCAAGAGACAAAUGAGGAAACGGUGACCCCAGAAGGAGCAAUACUUAAGGCUGGGUAGGUCCCAGGAGGGUGAAGGUUGGAUUUCCCUGAAGUCAAGGCUCCUGGAACCAGACUGGGCCUCUAACCUUCUGUUUCCUUGAUUGGAUCUGAAUUUUCUGGAAACUGUAAUGUUGAUUGAUUCUGUGUCUCUCCAACUUCUGAUGCCUGGAGGCGAUUUACCCACAUGUGCCUUUUCAUUCUUGAAGGUGCCUCUUCAACGCUUCCUUCCCAGUUAGGAGGGAGCAUCGUUUCCCUCUGGAGCCUUCGUAGUCGGCAAACUGUUACUAGAGAGAACCAUUAAUGAUAAUGGCAACAAUACUAGUUUAUUCAUUGUUUGUUCAGUCAUUUAUAAUUCAACAAAUGUUUAUUGUAGGUCUGCUGUAUGUCAGACACCCAGUCCAAUGAAUUCGCGGGAAAUUAAAGUGUGAUUUACAGCACUGUCUGAUAAUAGGUUGUUAUAAAGUCAUUAAGAAAAGCUCCCAAUCCAGGAAUGGAGACACUGGGACUGUGCUGGAAGGCACGGUGGGGAGUUUUCAGGUGACACAGAGGGAGGGGACUGUAAGAUCAGGAUAGAGGGUGUGAGGUACGAUAUGGGGAGGACCUCAUAGUCCAGGAUCAUUGCAGCAGAAAGUCAGUGAGCAGGAGGCUGGUAGAGGGCAUCAUUCUUCCAUAAUGAACUUUACUCUGAGUGCAUAGGAGCCAUCCGAAGAGUUAGAAGAGGGAGCCAUACAAACAGGCUUUGCAAAGCAGAAUGAAGACUAGAAUUGAUCUGUGAGUACCCAUCAUCCAAUUUUGAUACUAAUUCACAGCCAACUUGAUUUCUUCUUUCACCCCUCCGUCCUUCACUUACAUUAUAGAUACUCCUUGAGGUAGAGUUUCAGUUGAUUGGCUUGGGGAUUCACUCCAGCGGAUGGCAGAGCACACUUCUAGGUGUUUUUGGAUGAGUCACAAAGACAUGGGCUUGGGGUCUAUUUCUGGUUUCCUGCUCCUGCUCUGGCACUGAUCCUCUGUGCUGCUUCCCACCCACCAUAUACUAAGUUGCUUUGCUGUACGCUGUCUUUCCACUAUGAUGAUCCUGCCUUGGAGCCAGCUGACUAUGCACUGAACUUGCUCCAAUCCAAUAGCUAAAUUAAACCUUUUUUCUUUUAAAUCAUGAGUGUUGGGUAUUGUGUUCAGCAGUGGGAAAGCUGACUAAUAAACUCCUUGAUUUAUGAUGGGAUUACUUAUUGAUGAGCUUAAAAUUAAAAAUAUCAUGAUUCAAAAAUGCAUUCAAUUCACCUAACUUAGCAAAUAUAAGUUGACUGAAACUGUCUUAAAUGUGCUCAGAAUACAUACAUUAUCUAUACUUGGGCAAAAUCCAACACAAAAUGCUAUUUUAUAAUAAAUUGCUGAGUAUCUCAUACUUUCUUACGAUACUGAAGAUGAAAAACAAUGAUUGUAUAGAUGUGCUGUUGCCCUGUUACAAAGUUGAACAACUGUAAACUUCACCAUCAUAAGUGGGCAUAUCUAUAUUGUGAAGCAAAUCUCUGAUAUUGUCUCUUCUGUAAACAUUUUAAUAUUUGUUUCUGAAGGAGAAGACCUUGGUAAGUAAAACAGAAGUGUAAUAUUGUAUUCAAAAAUUAACAAUUCCUAAACAAUAAACACUUACUGACUUAUUAAAUUUCCUCUUAUGUUUUUACAAUUUUUUUCACUUUGGUUGAGUCAGGAUCUGAUAAGUUCCACAUUGGCUGACAUAUUUCUUAAGUCAUUUUUCUUUUUGUUUUUAUUUCUCUUUAAUACAUUUUUAAAACAGUGUUUCUUUGCCCUAUAUUUCUCCUCAAUACAAUAGAUUUGAUGAUUGUAGCCAUGUGGUGUCACUUAGCAUGUUUCUCUGUUCCCUGUAAUUAAUGUAAACAACAGGGAGAAGGAUAUGUGGAUGAGAAUUAGGGUUUUUUUUUUUGAUACAUAAGCCUCAAAGGUAGUAUUUUGGUCACAGCAUUCUGGAAUCAGUGAUUGUUCUUUUCUUAGAUUGCUGCAAGUGCCUAAUGUAAGCAGAAUGACGUGUUCGAGUCUUUGUACAUUUUUUUUUUUCUUUACUUAGGGUGAUGUUUUAAAAGUUCAGUCAUGUUGCAGUAUGUAUUAGCACUUCAUACCUUUUUACAUCAGGAUAAUAUUUCGUUGUGUACACAUACCACAUUGUGUGUACCCAUUUAUCUGCUGAUAGACAUUUGGGUUGCUUCUACCAUUGGGCUACUGUGAAUCAUGCUACUGUGAAGACUGAUGUAUAAAAAUCUGUUUGAUUUUAUCAUGACUGAUCUUAGUUGAAUCUGGUUUGUUAGAUUGCUGUUUUAUAUUGACAGAUUUAAUUUAAAUCUGUUAUGACUGAUAGUAUCAAGUCUGACAGUAUGGGCAACUACACUGAAGAUGACAAGAUUCACUAGGAUACCCACUCUGGUUUGAUUAUUACCUGCUUUUGAAGUUUUACACUGUCUAUAAUGUUUUGUUUUUAUUAAUAUUGUUAUGUACUGCUAUGUUCAAUUAUACUAUGUCUGAUGAUAUAGACAAUUCUAUUGAAUUGUCUCUAUAACAAGAGACAACACAGUAACCAUUGAAGAUCACCUUGUACUGUGGUUUUAUAUAACUUUUUGUUUCAGGUUUUUCUAGGAAUUUGUUUUGUUUUGUCUUGCUUUGUUUUAUUUUUCCCUCUAACACAGAAAGGAAAGAUAUACAUGUAGAAACUCAUGAAUGCGUAGAACCUGUAAUUUAUGAGAAUGGAUCAUAUAACACAUGAUGAAAUGAACAACUACUUUGAAGAAAAAGAGACACUACUGUACCCAGUGCUGAUUCCUUGGCGUCAUGAUGUGAAAUCCAACAAUACUAUUAUUCUUUGUUCAGAGUCAUUUUAGCAUGUUUUGUUUUGUUUAAUUUCAAUGUAUGUGAAGCUAUGGACAGCUACUUUGAAGAGAAUGAGAGACAGCCAUUGUUGACUUCCUUAGUGUCUGGUCUUGAAGACCUAAAACACCUUCAUCAUCCUGUUCAGAUCAGUUCUAAACUAUGUUGUUUCUUGUGAAUUCUCUGUAUGUGAAGAUAUGGACAACUAUUUGGAAGAAAACAAGAGAUAAUAUGAUAGAUGAUGAAGAUCUCUGGUUGUCUUGCUUUGAAAUUUAUGUUUCUUACAUUGCUUUCUUAUGUUCUGUUUUGUUGUGUUUAAUUUUACCCU
Molecule: long non-coding RNA, 7642 nt
Organism: Cavia porcellus (domestic guinea pig)
Lineage: Eukaryota; Metazoa; Chordata; Mammalia; Rodentia; Caviidae
Exons: 3
Source: RefSeq, a predicted model, not a curated record